GACGAACGCUGGCGGCGUGCCUAACACAUGCAAGUCGAACGCGGUUACCCCGCAAGGGGUAACUGAGUGGCGAACGGGUGAGUAACACGUGGGUGACCUACCUUCGAAUGGGGGAGUAACGUCCCGAAAGGGACGCUAAUACCGCAUAACAUCCCGUCCUUGAACGGAUGGAGAUCAAAGCCGGGGAUCGCAAGACCUGGCGUUUGAAGAGGGGCCCGCGUCCGAUUAGCUAGUUGGUGAGGUAACGGCUCACCAAGGCGACGAUCGGUAACCGGCCUGAGAGGGCGGACGGUCACACUGGGACUGAGACACGGCCC
RNAcentral lists this ribosomal RNA (317 nucleotides) under uncultured bacterium. RNAcentral describes it as "bacterial SSU rRNA". It matches the Rfam family "Bacterial small subunit ribosomal RNA", at positions 28 to 332 of the family's 1533-position model. The record is from RNAcentral.